AGAGGAUAGAAAGAUGGUGGGGAAUUCUGAGAGGGAAGUGUACAGAUAGAUGGAUUCAUCACUUUAAGGAAUUGGAAAAGAAUGGUGAUUUUACAAUUGGGGAUAAAUUACAUACGGCCUUAGUUCAGUAUUGCUACAUGAAUAUUAUUAGGACAGAAUUGGAGGAAGUUAAAUUUUCGUGGAAUAACCAUCGCAUCAGGUGCCAGAAAAGGGGAGAUACUGUUUCUGGAAUUCCAGAAGUACUUUAUCAUGUUCCAGAAAUGUUAGGUCAGAUAUUUUUAGUAAUAAUAACCAAACUGUCUGCCUGAGGCUGUGAAGCUCUACCCAUUCCAUGACGUAAAUGGUCCAUCUUAUCGACCUGUCCAACUUCUCACUCAACAGCCCAAC
Long non-coding RNA from Saccostrea cuccullata (small rock oyster), 387 nucleotides. RefSeq lists it as uncharacterized. The record is from RefSeq and is a predicted model, not a curated record. NCBI's taxonomy places the organism in Eukaryota, Metazoa, Mollusca, Bivalvia, Ostreida, Ostreidae. The transcript is spliced from 4 exons.